AAUCAACGCUGGCGGCGUGCCUCAGACAUGCAAGUCGAACGAUUAAAGCUCUCUUCGGAGAGUGUAUAGAGUGGCGCACGGGUGAGUAACACGUAAGUAAUCUACCUUCGAGUGGGAGUAACGUCCGGAACGGACGCUAAUACCGCAUAAUGCAGCGGCAUCGCAAGAUGACAGUUGUUAAAGAAUUUAUUCGCUUGAAGAGGAGCUUGCGGCAGAUUAG
RNAcentral lists this ribosomal RNA (220 nucleotides) under uncultured bacterium. RNAcentral describes it as "partial 16S ribosomal RNA". It matches the Rfam family "Bacterial small subunit ribosomal RNA", at positions 32 to 244 of the family's 1533-position model. The record is from RNAcentral.